Molecule: long non-coding RNA, 206 nt
Filed under: Elaeis guineensis (African oil palm)
Lineage: Eukaryota; Viridiplantae; Streptophyta; Magnoliopsida; Arecales; Arecaceae
Description: long non-coding RNA (EGUI_LNC067807)
Source: RNAcentral
UUUCUUUCUUACAACCUAUCUUAGUUUUAAGACAAGGCUUUGGGAUUUAAGACAAAACCUUAUCUGAUUCUAACAAUGGUUGUGAGGGUCCUAAAGAAGAAAAAUCUGAAGUUCAGAGGAGGAUGUUAGAGGGUCGAGUCAGAUUCUUGGAGAAACUUGAUCGAUACAGAGCUAGACGAGUUGUAGGGGUUAGAACUCUUGAAGCA